RNAcentral lists this ribosomal RNA (253 nucleotides) under uncultured bacterium. RNAcentral describes it as "partial 16S ribosomal RNA". It matches the Rfam family "Bacterial small subunit ribosomal RNA", at positions 524 to 776 of the family's 1533-position model. The record is from RNAcentral.
UACGAAGGGGGCUAGCGUUGCUCGGAAUCACUGGGCGUAAAGGGUGCGUAGGCGGGUCUUUAAGUCAGGGGUGAAAUCCUGGAGCUCAACUCCAGAACUGCCUUUGAUACUGAGGAUCUUGAGUUCGGGAGAGGUGAGUGGAACUGCGAGUGUAGAGGUGAAAUUCGUAGAUAUUCGCAAGAACACCAGUGGCGAAGGCGGCUCACUGGCCCGAUACGGACGCUGAGGCACGAAAGCGUGGGGAGCAAACAGG